CCUACGGGGGGCAGCAGUGGGGAAUAUUGCGCAAUGGGCGAAAGCCUGACGCAGCGACGCCGCGUGAGGGAUGAAGGUCCUCGGAUCGUAAACCUCUGUCAGCAGGGAAGAACGGUCACUGUGCUAAUCAGCAGUGAAUUGACGGUACCUGCAAAGGAAGCACCGGCUAACUCCGUGCCAGCAGCCGCGGUAAUACGGAGGGUGCGAGCGUUAAUCGGAAUUACUGGGCGUAAAGCGCUCGUAGGCGGUAUGUCAAGUCAAGGGUGAAAUCCCGGCGCUCAACGUGGGAACUGCCUUUGAAACUGGCAGACUGGAGUGUGUGAGAGGAUAGUGGAAUUCCAGGUGUAGGAGUGAAAUCCGUAGAUAUCUGGAGGAACAUCAGUGGCGAAGGCGACUAUCUGGCACAUAACUGACGCUGAGGAGCGAAAGCGUGGGUAGCAAACAGGAUUAGAUACCCUGGUAGUC
This 465-nucleotide ribosomal RNA is filed under the name uncultured bacterium. RNAcentral's name for it is "partial 16S ribosomal RNA". It matches the Rfam family "Bacterial small subunit ribosomal RNA", at positions 338 to 795 of the family's 1533-position model. The record is from RNAcentral.